This 408-nucleotide ribosomal RNA is filed under the name uncultured bacterium. Its description in RNAcentral is "bacterial SSU rRNA". It matches the Rfam family "Bacterial small subunit ribosomal RNA", at positions 30 to 438 of the family's 1533-position model. The record is from RNAcentral.
AUUGAACGCUGGCGGCAUGCCUUACACAUGCAAGUCGAACGGCAGCACGGGAGCUUGCUCCUGGUGGCGAGUGGCGAACGGGUGAGUAAUACAUCGGAACGUACUCUGAAGUGGGGGAUAACGUAGCGAAAGUUACGCUAAUACCGCAUAUUCUGUGAGCAGGAAAGAGGGGGAUCGCAAGACCUCUUGCUUUAGGAGCGGCCGAUGUCGGAUUAGCUAGUUGGUGAGGUAAAGGCUCACCAAGGCGACGAUCCGUAGCGGGUCUGAGAGGAUGAUCCGCCACACUGGGACUGAGACACGGCCCAGACUCCUACGGGAGGCAGCAGUGGGGAAUUUUGGACAAUGGGCGCAAGCCUGAUCCAGCCAUGCCGCGUGAGUGAAGAAGGCCUCGGUUGUAAGACUCUUCGU